GUAGUCCACGCCGUAAACGAUGGAUGCUAGCUGUGGGGGGUAUCGACCCCUUCCGUAGCGAAGCUAACGCGUUAAGCAUCCCGCCUGUGGAGUACGGCCGCAAGGCUAAAACAUAAAGGAAUUGACGGGGACCCGCACAAGCGGUGGAGCGUGUUCUUUAAUUCGAUGAUAAACGAAAAACCUUACCAGGGCUUGACAUCCCUUGAAUUUUGUCGAAAGACGAGAGUGCUUUAUUGAACAAGGUGACAGGUGAUGCAUGGCCGUCGUCAGCUCGUGUCGUGAGAUGUUUGGUUAAGUCCAUCAACGAGCGCAACCCUUAUGAAUAGUUGGAUUUUUCUAUUCAGACUGCCCCGGUAACGGGGAGGAAGGGGGGGAUGAUGUCAGGUCAGUAUUUCCCUUACGUCCUGGGCUAGAAACGCGCUACAAUGGCCGGUACAACGGGCAGCCAAGCCGCAAGGCGGAGCAAAUCCCAACAAAGCCGGUCCCAGUUCGGAUUGGAGGCUGAAACUCGCCUCCAUGAAGUCGGAAUCGCUAGUAAUCGCAAAUCAGCAUGUUGCGGUGAAUACGUUCCCGGGUCUUGUACACACCGCCCGUCAAACCAUGAAAGUGACCAACACCCGAAGUCCGAUUCGUCGGCCUAAGGUGGGGGGCAUGAUUGGGGUU
RNAcentral lists this ribosomal RNA (663 nucleotides) under uncultured bacterium. RNAcentral describes it as "bacterial SSU rRNA". It matches the Rfam family "Bacterial small subunit ribosomal RNA", at positions 790 to 1482 of the family's 1533-position model. The record is from RNAcentral.